GAUGAAGAACGUAGCGAAAUGCGAUAAGUAAUGUGAAUUGCAGAAUUCAGUGAAUCAUCGAAUCUUUGAACGCACAUUGCGCCCGGUAGUAUUCUGCCGGGCAUGCCUGUUCGAGCGUCAUUUCAACCAUCAAGCCCCAGCGCUUGUGUUGGGGGCCUGCGGCUACCGCAGCCCCCUAAAAGCAGUGGCGGGCUCGCUAUCACACCGAGUGCAGUAGUUCAUCUUCUCUCCGGUCUUGUGAGGCGGGUUCCGGCCGUGAAACACCCCACUACAUUCAAGGUUGACCUCGGAUCAGGUAGGAAUACCCGCUGAACUUAAGCAUAUCAAUAAGCGGAGA
RNAcentral lists this unclassified non-coding RNA (337 nucleotides) under soil metagenome. Its description in RNAcentral is "partial contains 5.8S ribosomal RNA, internal transcribed spacer 2, and large subunit ribosomal RNA". The stretch from base 1 to 120 matches the Rfam family "5.8S ribosomal RNA", at positions 35 to 154 of the family's 154-position model. The record is from RNAcentral.